RNAcentral lists this ribosomal RNA (253 nucleotides) under uncultured bacterium. Its description in RNAcentral is "partial 16S ribosomal RNA". It matches the Rfam family "Bacterial small subunit ribosomal RNA", at positions 524 to 776 of the family's 1533-position model. The record is from RNAcentral.
UACAGAGGAUGCAAGCGUUAUCCGGAAUGAUUGGGCGUAAAGCGUCUGUAGGUGGCUUUUUAAGUCCGCUGUGAAAGUCCAGGGCUCAACCCUGGAAUGCCGGUGGAAACUGUCGAGCUAGAGUCCGGAAGAGGCGAGUGGAAUUCCUGGUGUAGCGGUGAAAUGCGCAGAUAUCAGGAGGAACACCAAUGGCGAAGGCAGCUCGCUGGGACGGUACUGACGCUGAGACGCGAAAGCGUGGGGAGCAAACAGG